RNAcentral lists this ribosomal RNA (166 nucleotides) under Senecio aff. glaucophyllus CSL-2018. RNAcentral's name for it is "5.8S ribosomal RNA". It matches the Rfam family "5.8S ribosomal RNA". From Rfam's summary of the family: 5.8S ribosomal RNA (5.8S rRNA) is a component of the large subunit of the eukaryotic ribosome. It is transcribed by RNA polymerase I as part of the 45S precursor that also contains 18S and 28S rRNA. Functionally, it is thought that 5.8S rRNA may be involved in ribosome translocation. The record is from RNAcentral. Lineage: Eukaryota; Viridiplantae; Streptophyta; Magnoliopsida; Asterales; Asteraceae.
CAUAAACGACUCUCGGCAACGGAUAUCUCGGCUCACGCAUCGAUGAAGAACGUAGCAAAAUGCGAUACUUGGUGUGAAUUGCAGAAUUCCGUGAACCAUCGAGUUUUUGAACGCAAGUUGCGCCCGAAGCCUUUUGGCCGAGGGCACGUCUGCCUGGGCGUCACAC